Molecule: long non-coding RNA, 1189 nt
Filed under: Phasianus colchicus (ring-necked pheasant)
Lineage: Eukaryota; Metazoa; Chordata; Aves; Galliformes; Phasianidae
Description: lncRNA (ENSPCLG00000018670.1)
Source: RNAcentral
AUGUAUAUCUCUGAAUGUAUUUUUGAAUCUGACUUCUACCAAGGUUCAGCUCUUUCAGUGUGUUAUUCAGGUUCAGUGUCCCAGGAGCUGCUGCAGAAAUCCUGCCUUGUAUGGGGAGCAUGGCUGGCUGAUCUGCUGAAGUGCUGCUGUGAUGGCAUGCUUCUGGUGAAGAUGAAGCCUUCAGACUAACAGCAAAUGUUACUUGUGUGAGCAUAUGGGCUGACACGGUGGUGAUGAACCUGGAGCCUGGCACAUCCCAGCUUUGUGAUCUCAGAUCUCCUCCAGCUGCAGAUGAUGGUCACUAGAUUGCUUUGGAUGCCACUGGUUCAAAAUGCAAACUCACAAUGUGUUUUACCAGCAGCUGGAAAAUUAAGAUUGGACUUUAUAAGGAUAAGUGAGGAACUGUGUAAAUGGAUGCAAGCUAAUUCUGAACUUUUGUAUGUUUAUUGAGUUUUCAUAAAUUGAUGUUGUGCUACUUUUUGAGUACCUCUGGUGCUUGGACAGAGCCAAAGGAUACUAACAGGUGUGUGUCCUUUACUGGGCUGUGCACAGUUAAGAAGAAAGAUUUCUUUGGUUUGGGGACAGGAAGAAUCCAGCUUGCCUUCCCAGCCACCUUUUGGUAACUAAAGUGCAAUCUGAAAUGGUGCUGGCUCCUGUCCUGCUGUCCAGGUGUUACUGGCACCCCAGGUUACUUUAAGCUGCAAAAAGGUGGCAGGGCUGUACAAGCUCCUGCCUCCAGGCUGGGAACCACUGUGCUGAUCAUUUCUCUUCACCUGUGCCUUUGCUCUUGCAUUUCCUGGAUGAUGAUAUCUCCAAUAACACAAAUAAGUUAUUUCUGGAGAUCAAACACGAUAGGGUUGGCCAAAACCCAUACCACUUCCUCUGACAUUUCACGAGUGUCGGUUCGGUGGCUGUGGUCAAAGAGAUGAAAGACCUGUUUUUAUAAAGUAGAAGAAAGAAAAGAGUGGUAUCCCUGCUGAUGAGAAUGGAGCACAUUUCUCUCUGUGACCCCUUCAUGCCAUAUUGUUUCUUUUUUUUUUUUCUGUCUUCUAUAAGUAAAGCAUGAGUUUUUGAAAAAUGGUAAUUAAAGAAAAACAACAACAACAGCAAAAACUUUAGAAAAAGGCAGAGGGCUCCAGGGAUCAGAGAAAAUAGGAAAACAGCCUGAAAAUCAAAGGCUAUGUUUUAU